CCGGGUUUAUUUUUCAGCGCAACAACACUUGCUGAUUCCUAUCAUUCAGUUCAGGAACUUCUUUUUGACUUAUUUUCAAUUAGAAAGAGUAAACAGACCUUAAAAUCAAUCCGCACGAGUGGCAAUCAGGUCAACACAAUGGAAAAAAAGCGACUUCAUUCAGCCGGCCGGUUCAGAUCUCAGGAGGUGUUUCCGUGUCAUCGCCAAACAUUUAACUUAAGAACAGCUUAUGUGUUUUGUAGCUCUGUAUUCUGCCAAUAAUAUUAUUAUAUUAUAUUAUAUUUGUGUCUUAUAAGUGUCAAUAAUAUAAUUCGUUAGCUGGAUUAACUGUUAACUGCGUCGUUUUGACAUCUGACAUGGCAGCACCGAAGCAUGUGCAAGAACGUAAAAUGUCUGAUUGCUUAAAUAUUAAUCUCGGUGGAAUUGCCCAAAUUAUGAUUUAAGCGGUUUUAUAGCGGAUUAUUUUCUGGAGGAUAAUGGUGAUGAUGAACAGGACACAUUCUUUGACGAAACUGAAGAGGAAUUUGACGGCAGUGACCAACAUGAUGAUGAGGACGAGCCAGUUUUGGUGAUUGAACCUCAACCUAUUAUAGACUGGCGAAUCUGAAGAGGGAACACCAACAAGAAGAAUUUGCUUCUAAUGCUGGAAUUCCAGAUGUAAAACUGAAAAUAAGUUUCUCUUGCAACUGCAAGUAUUUCAAUGCUGAAAAGUGUUCUUCAUUUUUCAAGGAGGGAGAGUUGCUGUCACUCAGGAUGAGUCAUUUGGAGAUGGACAAUACUGUACUAGACAUGGUAGUUUUAGUACAAAUACAAAGUCACUUGCACUCUGGGGAAGAAA
Molecule: non-coding RNA, 838 nt
Organism: Pimephales promelas (fathead minnow)
Lineage: Eukaryota; Metazoa; Chordata; Actinopteri; Cypriniformes; Leuciscidae
Source: RefSeq, a predicted model, not a curated record